This 279-nucleotide long non-coding RNA is filed under the name Coturnix japonica (Japanese quail). RNAcentral describes it as "lncRNA (ENSCJPG00005015543.1)". Lineage: Eukaryota; Metazoa; Chordata; Aves; Galliformes; Phasianidae. The record is from RNAcentral.
UUGAUGUUCUCUGUGUCUUAUUUUGAAAGGACUGGAGUAUGAAGAACACUUGGGAUUUUUCCUGUUCUCUCUUGAAUAGGAAAUGAAUUCCUAUCAUCAGGAGUUGUGAAAAUUGGAUGAAACCUCCUUCUCAAGUUGUUCCAGAUUAAGAGUUUGUAUGAGUUUGAGAGACCUCCCAAGAAAUUUCACUGAAACAGAUUCAUAAAUGCUUGUGUAAUAGAGCCCCCCAAGGAGUUUCGCUAUAACAGGUUUCUGCAUUACUGAAUGUCAAGAAUAGCC